RNAcentral lists this non-coding RNA (31 nucleotides) under Rattus norvegicus (Norway rat). Lineage: Eukaryota; Metazoa; Chordata; Mammalia; Rodentia; Muridae. The record is from RNAcentral.
UCUCCAUGUGAGAUAAUUCUCAGGGUGGACU